GAUGAAGAACGUAGCGAAAUGCGAUAAGUAAUGUGAAUUGCAGAAUUCAGUGAAUCAUCGAAUCUUUGAACGCACAUUGCGCCCGCCAGAAUUCUGGCGGGCAUGCCUGUUCGAGCGUCAUUUCAACCAUCAAGCCCCCGGCUUGUGUUGGGGACCUGCGGCUGCCGCAGGCCCUGAAAACCAGUGGCGGGCUCGCUAGUCACUCCGAGCGUAGUAAUACAUCUCGCUCAGGGCGUGCUGCGGGUUCCGGCCGUUAAAAAAGCCUUAUUUACCCAAGGUUGACCUCGGAUCAGGUAGGAAGACCCGCUGAACUUAAGCAUAUCAAUAAGCGGAGGA
Molecule: unclassified non-coding RNA, 336 nt
Filed under: soil metagenome
Description: partial contains 5.8S ribosomal RNA, internal transcribed spacer 2, and large subunit ribosomal RNA
Rfam family: 5.8S ribosomal RNA (bases 1-120)
Source: RNAcentral